This 515-nucleotide ribosomal RNA is filed under the name uncultured Staphylococcus sp. RNAcentral's name for it is "bacterial SSU rRNA". It matches the Rfam family "Bacterial small subunit ribosomal RNA", at positions 10 to 507 of the family's 1533-position model. Lineage: Bacteria; Bacillati; Bacillota; Bacilli; Caryophanales; Staphylococcaceae. The record is from RNAcentral.
AGUUUGAUCCUGGCUCAGGAUGAACGCUGGCGGCGUGCCUAAUACAUGCAAGUCGAGCGAACAGACGAGGAGCUUGCUCCUUUGACGUUAGCGGCGGACGGGUGAGUAACACGUAGGUAACCUACCUAUAAGACUGGGAUAACUUCGGGAAACCGGAGCUAAUACCGGAUAAUAUUUCGAACCGCAUGGUUCGAUAGUGAAAGAUGGCUUUGCUAUCACUUAUAGAUGGACCUGCGCCGUAUUAGCUAGUUGGUAAGGUAACGGCUUACCAAGGCAACGAUACGUAGCCGACCUGAGAGGGUGAUCGGCCACACUGGAACUGAGACACGGUCCAGACUCCUACGGGAGGCAGCAGUAGGGAAUCUUCCGCAAUGGGCGAAAGCCUGACGGAGCAACGCCGCGUGAGUGAUGAAGGUCUUCGGAUCGUAAAACUCUGUUAUUAGGGAAGAACAAACGUGUAAGUAACUGUGCACGUCUUGACGGUACCUAAUCAGAAAGCCACGGCUAACUACGUG